This 465-nucleotide ribosomal RNA is filed under the name uncultured bacterium. Its description in RNAcentral is "bacterial SSU rRNA". It matches the Rfam family "Bacterial small subunit ribosomal RNA", at positions 338 to 795 of the family's 1533-position model. The record is from RNAcentral.
CCUACGGGAUGCACCAGUGGGGAAUAUUGCACAAUGGGCGCAAGCCUGAUGCAGCCAUGCCGCGUGUAUGAAGAAGGCCUUCGGGUUGUAAAGUACUUUCAGCGAGGAGGAAGGCAUUAAGGUUAAUAACCUUGGUGAUAGACGUUACUCGCAGAAGAAGCACCGGCUAACUCCGUGCCAGCAGCCGCGGUAAUACGGAGGGUGCAAGCGUUAAUCGGAAUUACUGGGCGUAAAGCGCACGCAGGCGGUCUGUCAAGUCGGAUGUGAAAUCCCCGGGCUCAACCUGGGAACUGCAUACGAAACUGGCAGGCUAGAGUCUUGUAGAGGGGGGUAGAAUCCCAGGUGUAGCGGUGAAAUGCGUAGAGAUCUGGAGAAAUACCGGUGGCGAAGGCGGCCCCCUGGACAAAGACUGACGCUCAGGUGCGAAAGCGUGGGGAGCAAACAGGAUUAGAUACCCGCGUAGUC